Molecule: long non-coding RNA, 430 nt
Filed under: Gossypium barbadense (sea-island cotton)
Lineage: Eukaryota; Viridiplantae; Streptophyta; Magnoliopsida; Malvales; Malvaceae
Description: long non-coding RNA (GBAR_LNC015422)
Source: RNAcentral
UGGGCUCUCGUCCAAUCCUCCCCGUGUUUCCGCGACUACUGGCUUCAAGAACGUUUCCACGAUCCCCAAAACGACGACGCCGAUCUUCUUUUUCCCGACGAUCUUGAUGCCGUCUUUGACGAUUACGACGACUUUUUCGUUGACCCUACCUGUAAGUUACUUAUUUAACUCGCCCGAGUCAACCAAGUAUAUUUAACUCGGAUCUCACCCCUUUUUUUUCUGUUUUGUUUCUGGGGUUUUAGGUGAAGGGAAGGAAGAAGAUACUCAAAAGGAAUUGGUACCCGUUGGAGCAUUCAAAUGGCGGAAGGGGCGAGUUGUGAGCGAGUCAACUAGGUUUCUUGAGAAAGCGCCCAAGAUCGUGAAUGUGAAAGUGAGUCCGAGGAAUAUUCACCAACCAAGGUAGAUCGAUUCCUGCAGAUUUGAAAUGGGA